AUGCCGCCGCCACCGCCGCCGCCGACCUCGCUCUCGCCAUCCUACCCCACGCCUGCAACCGCAUCAUCCCCAACCCCGCGCCAGAUCGCCGCCCUCGUGCUUAACUACCCGUCGUCCAACCUCACCACCGCAUCGGCCCGCUCCCUCUCGGCGUCCCUCCUCGCCGUCGCCCCGGCCCUCCCGACGCCCGUGGCCAACCGCGUCCUCAAGCUCCUCUGGCACCACGCGCCGCGCGCGCUCCUCUUCUUCCACUCGCUCCUCCACCUCCCCGCCCGCGCGCACGCCGUCUCCCCCUGCACCAUCGACCUCGCACUCGACCUCUCCGCGCGCCUCCGCCACCCCCGCCAGCUCACCAACUCCAUCCUCGCGCUCUUCCCGCGCCUCCGCCUGCCCUUCACCCCGCGCACUUUCCCCAUCCUCUUCGAGCGCUUCGCGGCGUCGCAGCGCCGGCCCGACAUCGCCGUCCGCCUCUUCCUCUCGCUCCACCGCUCCCACCGCGUCGUGCAGGAUCUCCCCCUCUUCAACUCCCUCCUCGACGCGCUCGGGAAGUCGCGCCAUGCCAGCAAGGCCGCCUCCCUCGUCCGCGCUCUCGAGCGGCGCUUCCCCCCGGACGUUGUCACGUACAACACCCUCGCUGACGGAUGGUGCCGCGUCAAGGACACGUCCCGCGCGCUCGACUUGCUGCGGCAGAUGGCCGAGUCCGGCAUCACGCCCACGAAGACAACCUAUAAUAUCAUCCUCAAAGGCUUCUUCCGUGCUGGGCAGAUACAGCACGCAUGGAACUUCUUCCUCCAAAUGAAGAAGAGGGGGGCCAAGGACGAGAGCUGUAAGCCGGACAUCAUAUCGUACACUACCAUCAUUCAUGGGCUGGGUGUUGCUGGGCAGCUAGACAAAGCUCGCAAACUGUUCGAUGAAAUGUCUAAAGAAGGUUGCACGCCGUCAGUGGCAACUUACAAUGCGCUUAUCCAGGUGAUAUGUAAGAAGGGAAAUGUGGAGGAUGCAGUCACAGUGUUUGAUGAUAUGGUUCGACAGGAUUACGUCCCAAAUGUGGUCACCUAUACCGUCUUGAUUCGAGGUCUCUGCCAUGCUGGGAAAAUUGACCGGGCUAUGAAGCUCAUGGAGAGAAUGAAAGAUGAAGGCUGUGAGCCAGUCGUUCAGACAUACAAUGUUCUAAUAAGAUAUUCAUUUGAGGAAGGGGAGAUCGAGAAGGCCUUGUGUUUGUUUGAGAGGAUGAGUAAAGGAGAGGACUGCCUGCCUAACCAAGAUACAUACAAUAUCAUAAUAAGUGCAAUGUUUGUGCGCAAGAGGGCUGAGGACAUGGCAACGGCGGCGAGGAUGGUAAUGGAGAUGGUGGAGAGAGGCUACUUACCUAGAAGGUUCAUGCUCAACCGUGUUCUGAAUGGGUUGAUGUUGACAGGGAAUCAGCAAAUUUCUAGAGAUCUGUUGAGAAUGCAAGAGAAAUAUAGACGCCUGCGACGAGAAAUAAGAUUGUGA
RNAcentral lists this ribosomal RNA (1494 nucleotides) under Triticum aestivum (bread wheat). RNAcentral's name for it is "partial small subunit ribosomal RNA". The record is from RNAcentral. Lineage: Eukaryota; Viridiplantae; Streptophyta; Magnoliopsida; Poales; Poaceae.